RNAcentral lists this ribosomal RNA (1082 nucleotides) under Lema decempunctata. RNAcentral's name for it is "16S ribosomal RNA". Lineage: Eukaryota; Metazoa; Arthropoda; Insecta; Coleoptera; Chrysomelidae. The record is from RNAcentral.
CUCGAAAUUAAAAGAGCUAAUUAAAUAAAUUUUUAUUGUAAAAUAAAUAUUAUAAAUAUUUAGUUAGUAAUGAAAUGUUAUUCGUUUUUAAUUAUAUCUAGUUUUUUAAGAAAAAAAUUUAAUUUUGAUGAUUUAUAAUAAUAUCUUAAAUUUUUAAUUUAUUAUUAAAAUUAUUUAAUAUUUUUAGGGAUAAGCUUGAAAUUAAAUUUUUAUUGAAUUAUAGAAUUAAUUAAAUAUAUAGGAUUAGAACUUUUUAUUUAUUUAUAGUUUAUUAUAAUUAUUUUAUAUGAUUUAUUAUUUUUAUUUUUUAUAAAUAUUUUAUUAAAAAAUUAGUAUUAAUUUUAUUUAUUAAGAUAUAAUGAUUAAAUUAGUAUAAAUAUAUUUAAUUAUUAGUUUAUAAUUAAGAUUAUAUAAAGGAAUUCGGCAAAUUUAUUUUUUACCUGUUUAUUAAAAACAUGGCUUUUUGAUGAUAAUUUAAAGUCUUACCUGCCCUAUGAGAUUACUUAAAUGGCCGCGGUAUUUUGACCGUGCAAAGGUAGCAUAAUCAUUAGUUUCUUAAUUAGAAGCUGGAAUGAAAGGUUUGAUAAAAAAAUAACUGUCUCUAUAUAAUAAUUAAAAUUUUAUUUUUAAGUUAAAAAGCUUAACUAUAUUUAAAAGACGAGAAGACCCUAUAGAGUUUGAUAUUUAUUAAUUUAAUUUAAUUUUUUGUAUAGAUUUUAUUAUUUAAAAUUAAAUAUUAGGUUGGGGUGAUUGAAAAAUUAGUUAAACUUUUUUUAUUUAUUUCAUUAAUUUUUGUCUAUUUGAUCCAAAUUUUUUGAUUAUAAGAAGAAAUUACCUUAGGGAUAACAGCGUAAUUUUUUUAUAGAGCUCAAAUCGAAAAAAAAGAUUGCGACCUCGAUGUUGGAUUAAAAUUUAUAUUUGGUAGUAGAAGCUAAAUUAUUAGGUCUGUUCGACCUUUGAAAUUUUACAUGAUCUGAGUUUAAACCGGUGUAAGCCAGGUUGGUUUCUAUCUUUAAUUAAUAUUAUUAAUUUAGUACGAAAGGAUUGAUUAAUAGAUUUAUAAUUUUAUUUUGAAUAUUAUU